GACGAACGCUGGCGGCACGCUUAACACAUGCAAGUCGAACGAGAGAAGAGAAGCUUGCUUUUCUGAUCUAGUGGCGGACGGGUGAGUAACACGUGAGCAAUCUGCCUUUCAGAGGGGGAUACCGAUUGGAAACGAUCGUUAAUACCGCAUAACAUAAUUGAACCGCAUGAUUUGAUUAUCAAAGAUUUAUCGCUGAAAGAUGAGCUCGCGUCUGAUUAGCUAGUUGGUAAGGUAACGGCUUACCAAGGCGACGAUCAGUAGCCGGACUGAGAGGUUGAUCGGCCACAUUGGGACUGAGACACGGCCCAGACUCCUACGGGAGGCAGCAGUGGGGAAUAUUGCACAAUGGAGGAAACUCUGAUGCAGCGAUGCCGCGUGAGGGAAGAAGGUUUUAGGAUUGUAAACCUCUGUCUUCAGGGACGAAAAAAGACGGUACCUGAGGAGGAAGCUCCGGCUAACUACGUGCCAGCAGCCGCGGUAAUACGUAGGGAGCGAGCGUUGUCCGGAAUUACUGGGUGUAAAGGGAGCGUAGGCGGGAUCGCAAGUCAGAUGUGAAAACUAUGGGCUUAACCCAUAAACUGCAUUUGAAACUGUGGUUCUUGAGUGAAGUAGAGGUAAACGGAAUUCCUAGUGUAGCGGUGAAAUGCGUAGAUAUUAGGAGGAACAUCAGUGGCGAAGGCGGCUUACUGGGCUUUAACUGACGCUGAGGCUCGAAAGCGUGGGGAGCAAACAGGAUUAGAUACCCUGGUAGUCCACGCCGUAAACGAUGAUUACUAGGUGUGGGGGGACUGACCCCUUCCGUGCCGCAGCAAACGCAAUAAGUAAUCCACCUGGGGAGUACGACCGCAAGGUUGAAACUCAAAGGAAUUGACGGGGGCCCGCACAAGCAGUGGAGUAUGUGGAUUAAUUCGAAGCAACGCGAAGAACCUUACCAGGUCUUGACAUCGUAUGCAUAGCUCAGAGAUGAGUGAAAUCUCUUCGGAGACAUAUAGACAGGUGGUGCAUGGUUGUCGUCAGCUCGUGUCGUGAGAUGUUGGGUUAAGUCCCGCAACGAGCGCAACCCUUACUGUUAGUUGCUACGCAAGAGCACUCUAGCAGGACUGCCGUUGACAAAACGGAGGAAGGUGGGGAUGACGUCAAAUCAUCAUGCCCCUUAUGACCUGGGCCUCACACGUACUACAAUGGCUGUCAACAGAGGGAAGCAAAGCCGCGAGGUGGAGCGAACCCCUAAAAGCAGUCUUAGUUCGGAUUGUAGGCUGCAACCCGCCUACAUGAAGUCGGAAUUGCUAGUAAUCGCAGAUCAGCAUGCUGCGGUGAAUACGUUCCCGGGCCUUGUACACACCGCCCGUCACGCCAUGGGAGUCGGUAACACCCGAAGCCUGUAGUCUAACCGCAAGGAGGACGCAGUCGAAGGUGGGAUUGAUGACUGGGGUG
This 1434-nucleotide ribosomal RNA is filed under the name uncultured bacterium. Its description in RNAcentral is "bacterial SSU rRNA". It matches the Rfam family "Bacterial small subunit ribosomal RNA". The record is from RNAcentral.